AUUGAACGCUGGCGGCAUGCCUUACACAUGCAAGUCGAACGGCAGCACGGGUGCUUGCCCCUGGUGGCGAGUGGCGAACGGGUGAGUAAUACAUCGGAACAUGUCCUAUAGUGGGGGAUAGCCCGGCGAAAGCCGGAUUAAUACCGCAUACGAUCUACGGAUGAAAGCGGGGGACCUUCGGGCCUCGCGCUAUAGGGUUGGCCGAUGGCUGAUUAGCUAGUUGGUGGGGUAAAGGCCUACCAAGGCGACGAUCAGUAGAUGGUCUGAGAGGACGACCAGCCACACUGGGACUGAGACACGGCCCAGACUCCUACGGGAGGCAGCAGUGGGGAAUUUUGGACAAUGGGCGAAAGCCUGAUCCAGCAAUGCCGCGUGUGUGAAGAAGGCCUUCGGGUUGUAAAGCACUUUUGUCCGGAAAGAAAUCCUUGGCUCUAAUACAGUCGGGGGAUGACGGUACCGGAAGAAUAAGCACCGGCUAACUACGUG
RNAcentral lists this ribosomal RNA (486 nucleotides) under uncultured bacterium. RNAcentral describes it as "partial 16S ribosomal RNA". It matches the Rfam family "Bacterial small subunit ribosomal RNA", at positions 30 to 507 of the family's 1533-position model. The record is from RNAcentral.